Molecule: long non-coding RNA, 1779 nt
Filed under: Equus caballus (horse)
Lineage: Eukaryota; Metazoa; Chordata; Mammalia; Perissodactyla; Equidae
Description: lncRNA (ENSECAG00000042430.2)
Source: RNAcentral
UUCAUUAAGAAUAAUUUUCAAUGACCACUUGUUCUAUUUGUUUUUAAGUGAAAUACUUUUGACAAUGCAGCAGUACCUAAUGGCUUCAGUACUGCGUAUUUUAAGAGCUCACAAUAGCUUCUAUUUGAUACUAAUGAAACCUGUCACUGAUUUGAGAAGAAAAAACAAAAGUUUUGACUUAGAAUAGUGCCCAAGUAAGGGUUUAAGUUUCUGCAAAACAAGAGUGCUGGAAUUUAGUCCAAAGCCCUUAGGCUUGCUGGGCAAUGAAUUCACCUGCUGGAGACUGAGAACACUUGACGUUGCCUAAUAAAUGGGGCACUCACUGACCAUGUGAUAGUCUACUCUGCCCCAAGCAAAAUGUCACAGAACUGCUGCCACUUCUGCAUUUCUCAAAAAAAAAAAAAAAAAAAAAAAGGUUAGGAAUUCUAGUUAGUAUACAGUUAAGCCAGAGGGAGUUCUCCUUCUGUGUUCUAUAGGUAAACAAUCUGAAGACCAAGCAAUUAUUGCAAUUGUUUCACCAUUACCAAUAAGUUUUUCUAGAAAACUAACCAUGUUCUCUUUAUCCUCAACACCAUGUAUAAUAACACUUGUGAUUGAAUACCCCCUUUUUUCUUGAUGAGAGAAGGCUAAUUUUUCCAGGUAACUGCCCGUAAGUGGUGACCACAGAUAUAAUCGCUUUCUAAAUUCUGAUUGAUCUAAAUGAGUCAACCUAAUUCACCCUCCUUAAAUGUAUGAUUUAAGCAAGAAUAAUAAGUAUUUCCGACCUAUAACAGAUAGAGAGUGUCUGCUGGAACACUUCUGAGAAAUAUAUUCUCACUUUAAAGUUGAAAUUUUGUAUAUGGGAAAUAAAAAAAAAAGAUAUUUGGUAAAUGAUAUGGUUGAGAUAUUGAAUUAAUCAGUCUUCAAUUUCCUAUUAGUAUGUACACAUUUUCUCCUUGUUUAAGCCUGCUGAAACUAGAUUUUCUUUUACUUACAGCCAAAAGCACUCCAACAUGCCACUUUAACAUGUUUGUGAGGGCAUAAUCAGUCCAUGAUCAUCUGCUUAGCGGCUUGUCUCAAUGGUCAGGUUGUUAUCCCUUGCCUCAACUUGUCCUUAUUGUUCCACCACAUAAUCAAUCGCUGGAUAGUCCAUCCUGAUAAGUUCCACUUGCUGAAAGCUCUUUCCCAUUUGAGGAGAGCAACAGAAGGUUUACUCAUUUAAAAUGAGAAUCAGGGAAGAAGCAUGGAAGACAAUUCAUGUGGGAUCUCUGCAAUCACUCCUCACCCGUUAAUAAUUAAAUGGAACAGCACAAAUCCUGCUGAAGUCUCAUGAGCAAUAAUGAAAAUAAAAAUAAUUUCAGAGGAUUUGCUCAAUUUGGUAUUUUUUCAUCUUACUUAAGGAAAUAAAACUCUAAGACUUAUGAAGUCUAAAAAUAAUAUAUAUGAUUGCAUAAGUAUGAAUUUACCCUUUUUGACCAAUAGAUUUUUUUUCCCAGCAGCUAGAAGAAUGAUUAUAACUUGAAAAAAAUUAACUGGCAGAGAAAGAUUAAGAUUAUGAAUUACACAAAAAUAUGCCUUCAAUCUUCAAUAUUAAGUGCAUUGAAAGGUAAACAAAAUUUAUAAGAUAAAGGAACAGAGGAAAACAGGUGCCCAGAGCUCACAGUAAUACUAUCAGGCAGUUGCUUUAUUCCUGUCAAUUGUUUGAAUCACGUUAAUAAUAAUAAUAUCUUGUGGCGUGGCUGAUCCCUGCUUUGUCAAUCUGUUUAUAUCCUAUAAAAUCAUUUAGAAAGAAGAUAGAAG